UACGUAGGGCGCAAGCGUUAUCCGGAAUUAUUGGGCGUAAAGAGCUCGUAGGCGGUUUGUCGCGUCUGCCGUGAAAGUCCGGGGCUCAACUCCGGAUCUGCGGUGGGUACGGGCAGACUAGAGUGAUGUAGGGGGAGACUGGAAUUCCUGGUGUAGCGGUGAAAUGCGCAGAUAUCAGGAGGAACACCGAUGGCGAAGGCAGGUCUCUGGGCAUUAACUGACGCUGAGGAGCGAAAGCAUGGGGAGCGAACAG
This 253-nucleotide ribosomal RNA is filed under the name uncultured bacterium. Its description in RNAcentral is "partial 16S ribosomal RNA". It matches the Rfam family "Bacterial small subunit ribosomal RNA", at positions 524 to 775 of the family's 1533-position model. The record is from RNAcentral.